UGUACUUCCUUCAUUCAAAAUUCAAACUCAAAAAUAGGGGGACUGGUGUUGGGUAUAAAAUACCCUCAGUCGAAGUUCUUGACAGGAUUGACCCUCCCAAGAUUCCUCCGACUUUCGACCACAGAUGGUAUCUCUCUGGAUUUUUUCAAUAGCCGGAUUCCCACAGUGCUGACUGAAUUCCUCCGACGGACGAACUCCCACUGCACCACCCG
RNAcentral lists this long non-coding RNA (212 nucleotides) under Elaeis guineensis (African oil palm). RNAcentral describes it as "long non-coding RNA (EGUI_LNC033876)". The record is from RNAcentral. Lineage: Eukaryota; Viridiplantae; Streptophyta; Magnoliopsida; Arecales; Arecaceae.